RNAcentral lists this ribosomal RNA (155 nucleotides) under uncultured bacterium. Its description in RNAcentral is "partial 16S ribosomal RNA". It matches the Rfam family "Bacterial small subunit ribosomal RNA", at positions 355 to 507 of the family's 1533-position model. The record is from RNAcentral.
UAAGGAAUAUUGGUCAAUGGACGCAAGUCUGAACCAGCCAUGCCGCGUGAAGGAUGAAGGUCCUCUGGAUUGUAAACUUCUUUUAUGUGGGACGAAAUGCAUUUAUUCUUAGAUGUUUGACGGUACCAUAGGAAUAAGCACCGGCUAACUCCGUG